RNAcentral lists this ribosomal RNA (2831 nucleotides) under human gut metagenome. RNAcentral's name for it is "bacterial LSU rRNA". It matches the Rfam family "Bacterial large subunit ribosomal RNA". The record is from RNAcentral.
AGGGCGCAUGGUGGAUGCCUUGGCAAUAGAAGUCGAUGAAGGACGUGACAAACUACGAUAUGCCUCGGGGAGCAGUAAGUAUGCUUUGAUCCGGGGAUCUCUGAAUGCGGAAACGCGCUUGCAGUAAUGUGCAAGCAUCCUAGAGUGAAUUCAUAGCUCUAGUGAGGACAACUCAGGGAACUGAAACAUCUUAGUACCUGAAGGAAAAGAAAGAAAAAUCGAUUACCUUAGUAGUGGCGAGCGAAACGGUAAGAGCCCAAACCAGUCUUAGGACUGGGGUUGUAGGACACUAUAUACGGAGUUACAAAAUUACUAGAUAGCCGAACAACUUGGAAAGGUUGGCCGGAGAGGGUGAAAGGCCCGUAGGCAAAAUUUAGUAAUCUCUUUAGUGGAUCCUGAGUACAGCGGGACACGAGUAAUCUUGCUGGAAUCUACGGGGACCAUCCCGUAAGGCUAAAUACUCUCUAUUGACCGAUAGUGAACAAGUACCGUGAGGGAAAGGUGAAAAGAACCCCGGGAGGGGAGUGAAAUAGAACACUGAAACCGUGUGCUUACAAGAAGUUCGAGCCCGUUAAUGGGUGAGAGCGUGCCUUUUGCAGAAUGAGCCGGCGAGUUAUGGUAUAGUGCAAGGUUAAGCGGAAUACGCGGAGCCGAAGCGAAAGCGAGUCUUAAUAGGGCGAUUCAGUACUAUGCUAUAGACCCGAAACCGAGUGAUCUAGCCAUGAGCAGGGUGAAGUAAGGGUGAAACCUUAUGGAGGCCCGAACCAGGACACGUUGUAAAGUGUUUGGAUGACUUGUGGCUAGCGGUGAAAUUCCAAUCGAACUCGGAUAUAGCUGGUUCUCCCCGAAAUAGGUUUAGGCCUAGCCUUUGAUGAUGCUACCUGGAGGUAGAGCACUGAAUAUGGAAUGGCGGCGUCUAGCUGUACUGACUGUAAUCAACCUCCGAAUGCCAGGCAAGUUAAUCAAGGAGUCAGUGUGUGGGUGAUAACGUUCAUACGCGAGAGAAAAUCAAUUCAGACCGUCAGCUAAGGUCCCUAAAUGUAUGUUAAGUGGAAAAGGAUGUAAGAUUGCACUAACAGCUAGGAGGUUGGCUCAGAAGCAGCCAUCCUUUAAAGAGUGCGUAAUAGCUCACUAGUCGAGUGGUCUUGCGCCGAAAAUGUACCGGGGCUUAAACAUACUACCGAAGCUACGGGUUUACACUUAUGUGUAAGCGGUAGGGGAGCGUUCUAAGGGCGCUGAAGAUAGAUCGUGAGGACUAUUGGAGCGCUUAGAAGUGAGAAUGCCGGUGUGAGUAACGUAAGGCUGGUGAGAAUCCAGCCCACCGAUCGACCAAGGGUUCCGGGGUAAAGUUCGUCUCCCCCCGGGUUAGUCAGGACCUAAGGCGAGGCAGAAAUGCGUAGUCGAUGGACAACAGGUUUAUAUUCCUGUACUGCCUAUGAGACUGAUGGAGUGACGGAGAAAGCUAGGAAGGGCCAGUUAUUGGAUUCUGGUCUAAGUGCGUAGGUCAUUGCGUAGGAAAAUCCGCGACAAUGUUAAGACUGAAACAUGAUGGCGUCUGUUCCCUCGGGAACAUAAGUCUUCUGAAGCUAUGCUUCCAAGAAAAACUUCUAAAGAUAUCUUAUAGGUACCUGUACCAAGAACCAACACAGGUGGUCAAGGAGAGAAUCUUAAGGUGAGCGAGAGAACUAUGGUCAAGGAACUCGGCAAAAUGACCCCGUAACUUCGGAAUAAGGGGAGGUGCUUUCGGGCACCCGCAGUGAAUUGUCCCAGGCAACUGUUUACCAAAAACACAGGUCUCUGCUAAAGCGCAAGCUGAUGUAUAGGGGCUGACGCCUGCCCAGUGCUGGAAGGUUAAGAUGAUUUGUUAGCUGGACGUAAGUCGAUAACAGCGAAGCUUUGAUUUGAAGCCCCAGUGAACGGCGGCCGUAACUAUAACGGUCCUAAGGUAGCGAAAUUCCUUGUCAGGUAAGUUCUGACCCGCACGAAAGGCGUAAUGAUCUGGGAGCUGUCUCGACCAUAGACUCGGUGAAAUCUUAAUACCUGUGAAAAUGCAGGUUACCCGCGAUAGGACGGAAAGACCCCAUGGAGCUUUACUGUAGCUUGAUAUUGGAAUCAGAUAAUUUUUGUAGAGGAUAGGUGGUAGGCUUUGAAGUGUAGACGCCAGUUUACAUGGAGCCACCCUUGGAAUACCACCCUGAAGUUGUUUGAUUUCUAACUCGCACCCAUUAUCUGGGUGGAGGACAGUGUCUGGUGGGCAGUUUGACUGGGGCGGUCGCCUCCCAAAGAGUAACGGAGGCGCCCAAAGGUUCCCUCAGCAUGGAUGGAAAUCAUGCGAAGAGUGUAAUAGUAUAAGGGAGCUUGACUGUGAGACUUACAAGUCGAGCAGGUACGAAAGUAGGGUAUAGUGAUCAGGCGGUUGAAUAUGGAAUUGCCGUCGCUUAACGGAUAAAAGUUACCCUGGGGAUAACAGGCUGAUACCACCCAAUAGUUCACAUAGACGGUGGUGAUUGGCACCUCGAUGUCGGCUCGUCACAUCCUGGAGGUGGAUUCGCUUCCAAGGGUUGGGCUGUUCGCCCAUUAAAGUGGCACGCGAGCUGGGUUCAGAACGUCGCGAGACAGUUCGGUCCCUAUCCAUCGUGGGCGUAGGAAAAUUGAGAAGGGCUGUUCCUAGUACGAGAGGACCGGAAUGGACAUACCUCUGGUGUAUCUGUUGUAACGCCAGUUGCAGUGCAGAGUAGCUAUGUAUGGAAGGGAUAAUCGCUGAGAGCAUCUAAGCGAGAAGCCCUCUUCAAGAUGAGUUUUCCCAUAUUUUAUAUAGUAAGAUCCCUUGU